RNAcentral lists this ribosomal RNA (387 nucleotides) under Pyramimonadales sp. Its description in RNAcentral is "partial small subunit ribosomal RNA". It matches the Rfam family "Eukaryotic small subunit ribosomal RNA", at positions 582 to 975 of the family's 1831-position model. The record is from RNAcentral. Lineage: Eukaryota; Viridiplantae; Chlorophyta; Pyramimonadophyceae; Pyramimonadales.
AUUCCAGCUCCAAUAGCGUAUAUUUAAGUUGUUGCAGUUAAAAAGCUCGUAGUUGGAUUUCGGAUGGGUUUGACCGGUCCGCCUUUGGUGUGCACUGGUCGCGCCUAUCUUGCUGUCGGGGACGCGCUCCUGGCCUUAAUUGGCUGGGACGCGGAGUCGGCGAUGUUACUUUGAAAAAAUUAGAGUGUUCAAAGCAGGCCUAAGCUCUGAAUACAUUAGCAUGGAAUAACGCUAUAGGACUCUGGUCUUAUUGCGUUGGUCUUCGAGACCGGAGUAAUGAUUAAGAGGGACAGUUGGGGGCAUUCGUAUUUCAUUGUCAGAGGUGAAAUUCUUGGAUUUAUGAAAGACGAACUUCUGCGAAAGCAUUUGCCAAGGAUGUUUUCAUUA